UACGUAGGCGGAAAUCUAAGUCAGUGGUGAAAUCCCGCAGCUCAACUGUGGAACUGUUAUUGAUACUGGUUUUCUUGAAUAUAGUUGAGGUAAGCGGAAUGUGUAAUGUAGCGGUGAAAUGCUUAGAUAUUACACAGAACACCGAUUGCGAAGGCAGCUUACUAAGCUAUGAUUGACGCUGAGGUACGAAAGCGUGGGGAGCGAACAGGAUUAGAUACCCUGGUAGUCC
Molecule: ribosomal RNA, 229 nt
Filed under: uncultured bacterium
Lineage: Bacteria
Description: partial 16S ribosomal RNA
Rfam family: Bacterial small subunit ribosomal RNA
Source: RNAcentral